GACGAACGCUGGCGGCGUGCUUAACACAUGCAAGUCGAGCGGUAAGGCCCUUUCGGGGGUACACGAGCGGCGAACGGGUGAGUAGCACGUGGGUGACCUGCCCUCAGCUCUGGGAUAAGCCUGGGAAACCGGGUCUAAUACCGGAUAUGACUCCAUGACGCAUGUUGUGGGGUGGAAAGCCUUGUGCGGCUGAGGAUGGGCCCGCGGCCUAUCAGCUUGUUGGUGGGGUGAGGCCUACCAAGGCGACGACGGGUAGCCGGCCUGAGAGGGCGACCGGCCACACUGGGACUGAGACACGGCCCAGACUCCUACGGGAGGCAGCAGUGGGGAAUCUUGCGCAAUGGGCGAAAGCCUGACGCAGCGACGCCGCGUGAGGGAUGACGGCCUGG
Molecule: ribosomal RNA, 389 nt
Filed under: uncultured bacterium
Lineage: Bacteria
Description: bacterial SSU rRNA
Rfam family: Bacterial small subunit ribosomal RNA
Source: RNAcentral